CUACGGGUUGCUCCAGUGGGGAAUAUUGGACAAUGGGGGAAACCCUGAUCCAGCAAUGCCGCGUGUGUGAAGAAGGCCUGCGGGUUGUAAAGCACUUUCGGUUGGGAGGACUGCUUCUAGCACUAAUAUUGUUGGAAGUUGACGUUACCUUCAGAAGAAGCACCGGCUAACUCCGUGCCAGCAGCCGCGGUAAUACGGAGGGGGCAAGCGUUAAUCGGAAUUACUGGGCGUAAAGCGCGCGUAGGCGGCUAGAUCAGUCGGGUGUGAAAGCCCCGGGCUAACCUGGGAACUGCAUCCGAUACUGUCUAGCUUGAGUACAGGAGAGGAGAGUGGAAUUCCACAUGUAGCGGUGAAAUGCGUAGAUAUGUGGAGGAACACCAAUGGCGAAGGCAGCUCUCUGGCCUGAUACUGACGCUGAGGUGCGAAAGCGUGGGGAGCAAACAGGAUUAGAUACCCGAGUAGUC
This 464-nucleotide ribosomal RNA is filed under the name uncultured bacterium. RNAcentral's name for it is "partial 16S ribosomal RNA". It matches the Rfam family "Bacterial small subunit ribosomal RNA", at positions 339 to 795 of the family's 1533-position model. The record is from RNAcentral.